UGAGGAAUAUUGCGCAAUGGGCGAAAGCCUGACGCAGCGACGCCGCGUGAGGGAUGAAUGCCUUCGGGUUGUAAACCUCUUUCAGCAGGGAUGAAGCGCAAGUGACAGUACCUGCAGAAGAAGCACCGGCUAACUACGUGCCAGCAGCCGCGGUAAUACGUAGGGUGCAAGCGUUGUCCGGAAUUAUUGGGCGUAAAGAGCUCGUAGGCGGUUUGUCACGUCGGAUGUGAAAUUCCAGGGCUCAACCCUGGACCUGCAUUCGAUACGGGCAGACUAGAAUUCGGUAGGGGAGUCUGGAAUUCCUGGUGUAGCGGUGAAAUGCGCAGAUAUCAGGAGGAACACCGGUGGCGAAGGCGGGACUCUGGGCCGAUAUUGACGCUGAGGAGCGAAAGCGUGGGGAGCGAACAGG
This 409-nucleotide ribosomal RNA is filed under the name uncultured prokaryote. Its description in RNAcentral is "bacterial SSU rRNA". It matches the Rfam family "Bacterial small subunit ribosomal RNA", at positions 355 to 776 of the family's 1533-position model. The record is from RNAcentral. RNAcentral also lists the same sequence under 1 other name.